This 427-nucleotide long non-coding RNA is filed under the name Lathyrus oleraceus (garden pea). Its description in RNAcentral is "Pisum sativum (pea) long non-coding RNA (PSAT_LNC022432)". The record is from RNAcentral. Lineage: Eukaryota; Viridiplantae; Streptophyta; Magnoliopsida; Fabales; Fabaceae.
UCAAAGAUAACUGUCUCAAGAAUGAGAAACUAUUGGUGAUUGUUCUUGCUGACAGAACCAACAGAAACUCAAACCAAACAGCAACAACUCCUUCUCCUUCUCCUUCUGUUCCUGUAUCUCCUUCUCCUUCUCCAUUAUCCUCGCACACGUCAGAUGCAUUGGCUCCUUCACUACCACCUUCUCAGCUAAAUGGUUCGUCUCCUCCACCACCUUCUCAGGUAGAUGGUUCAUCUCCACCGCCUCUUCAGCAAGUAGGUUCAGCUCCACCGCUAGGGACUGAUGUGACAAAUCCUGCUACUCCAACUACAUCUCCUGUUUCUGAACCUCCUCCUCCUAAUGCUGCUUCUUCAAUCUUGCUUAGCUUUGGUUGUUCUGUUGGAGCACUCAUGGUUUCACUUCUCGUCUAUUCUAAGUAAAAUGUAUGAGU